RNAcentral lists this ribosomal RNA (406 nucleotides) under uncultured bacterium. RNAcentral describes it as "partial 16S ribosomal RNA". It matches the Rfam family "Bacterial small subunit ribosomal RNA", at positions 30 to 526 of the family's 1533-position model. The record is from RNAcentral.
AUUGAACGCUGGCGGCAGGCCUAACACAUGCAAGUCGAACGAGUGGCGGACGUGUGAGUCAUGUCUGGGAAACUGCCCGCUGGAGGGGGAUAACUACUGGAAACGGUAGCUAAUACCGCCUACCAUAGGAUGUUCCCAGAUGGGAUUAGCUAGUAGGUGGGGUAACGGCUCACCUAGGCGACGAUCCCUAGCUGGUCUGAGGGGAUGACCAGCCAACCUGGAACUGAGAGACGGUCGAGACACCUACGGGAGGCAGCAGUGGGGAAUAUUGCACAAUGGGCGCAAGCCUGAUGCAGCCAUGCCGCGGGUAUGAAGAAGGCCUUCGGGUUGUAAAGUACUUUCAGCGGGGAGGCGUUACCCGCAGAAGAAGCACCGGCUAACUCCGUGCCAGCAGCCGCGGUAAUUC